Molecule: ribosomal RNA, 440 nt
Filed under: uncultured Janthinobacterium sp.
Lineage: Bacteria; Pseudomonadati; Pseudomonadota; Betaproteobacteria; Burkholderiales; Oxalobacteraceae
Description: bacterial SSU rRNA
Rfam family: Bacterial small subunit ribosomal RNA
Source: RNAcentral
GGAAUUUUGGACAAUGGGCGAAAGCCUGAUCCAGCAAUGCCGCGUGAGUGAAGAAGGCCUUCGGGUUGUAAAGCUCUUUUGUCAGGGAAGAAACGGUGAGAGCUAAUAUCUUUUGCUAAUGACGGUACCUGAAGAAUAAGCACCGGCUAACUACGUGCCAGCAGCCGCGGUAAUACGUAGGGUGCAAGCGUUAAUCGGAAUUACUGGGCGUAAAGCGUGCGCAGGCGGUUUUGUAAGUCUGAUGUGAAAUCCCCGGGCUCAACCUGGGAAUUGCAUUGGAGACUGCAAGGCUAGAAUCUGGCAGAGGGGGGUAGAAUUCCACGUGUAGCAGUGAAAUGCGUAGAUAUGUGGAGGAACACCGAUGGCGAAGGCAGCCCCCUGGGUCAAGAUUGACGCUCAUGCACGAAAGCGUGGGGAGCAAACAGGAUUAGAUACCCGGG